UGGGGAAUAUUGCACAAUGGGCGCAAGCCUGAUGCAGCCAUGCCGCGUGUAUGAAGAAGGCCUUCGGGUUGUAAAGUACUUUCAGCGGGGAGGAAGGCGAUAAGGUUAAUAACCUUGUCGAUUGACGUUACCCGCAGAAGAAGCACCGGCUAACUCCGUGCCAGCAGCCGCGGUAAUACGGAGGGUGCAAGCGUUAAUCGGAAUUACUGGGCGUAAAGCGCACGCAGGCGGUCUGUCAAGUCGGAUGUGAAAUCCCCGGGCUCAACCUGGGAACUGCAUUCGAAACUGGCAGGCUAGAGUCUUGUAGAGGGGGGUAGAAUUCCAGGUGUAGCUGUGAAAUGCGUAGAGAUCUGGAGGAAUACCGGUGGCGAAGGCGGCCCCCUGGACAAAGACUGACGCUCAGGUGCGAAAGCGUGGGGAGCAAACA
RNAcentral lists this ribosomal RNA (427 nucleotides) under uncultured bacterium. RNAcentral describes it as "partial 16S ribosomal RNA". It matches the Rfam family "Bacterial small subunit ribosomal RNA", at positions 355 to 774 of the family's 1533-position model. The record is from RNAcentral.